CAGACAACCAGGAUGUUGGCUUAGAAGCAGCCAUUCAUUUAAAGAGUGCGUAAUAGCUCACUGGUCGAGUGAAGUUGCGCGGAAAAUUACCGGGGCUAAGUUAUACACCGAAAUUGCGGAUUCAUUAAGAAAUUAAUGAGUGGUAGAGGAGCGUUCUAUACAGGAUGAAGUAUGAUCGAGAGGACAUAUGGACAGUAUAGAAGAGAGAAUGCCGGAAUGAGUAGCGAGAGCAAAGUGAGAAUCUUUGCCGUCGAAAAUCUAAGGUUUCCUGGGGAAGGUUCGUCCGCCCAGGGUAAGUCGGGACCUAAGGUGAGGCCGAAGGGCGUAGCCGAUGGACAGCAGGUUAAGAUUCCUGCACCAGUAUACAUGUAUAAUGCAUAAGAGGACACAUUUGAAGAAGAUGAGCGAGGAAGAGGAAAAACUCGUAUGGCAACAUAUAGUGAAAUAAAGUAACGAAUCAUCAAGAGGCGAGUGGCGAGAAAAGUCUUAUGUAGUUGUGUAGACUGCCCGUACCGCAAACCGACACAGGUAGAUGAGGAGAGGAUCCUAAGACGAGCGGGAGAAGCAUUGUUAAGGAACUCGGCAAAUUGACCCCGUAACUUAGGGAUAAGGGGUGCUGGUGUAAAAACCAGUCGCAGUAAAUAGGCCCAAGCAACUGUUUAACAAAAACACAGGUUUCUGCUAAAUCGCAAGAUGAAGUAUAGGAGCUGACUCCUGCCCAGUGCUGGAAGGUUAAGGGGAAAGGUUAGGAAUAAUUCAUUAUAUCCGAAGCUUUGAACUCAAGCCCCAGUGAACGGCGGCCGUAACUAUAACGGUCCUAAGGUAGCGAAAUUCCUUGUCAGGUAAGUUCUGACCCGCACGAAAGGAGUAAUGAUUUGGGCACUGUCUCAACAAUGUACCCGGCGAAAUUGUAGUACUAGUGAAGAUGCUAGUUACCUGCGACAAGACGGAAAGACCCCAUGGAGCUUUACUAUAGCCUGAUAUUGGGCUUUGGUAUCUUAUGUACAGGAUAGGUGGGAGACUAUGAGAUUAAGACGCUAGUCUUAAAGGAGUCAACCUUGGAAUACCACCCUUAAGAUAUUAGAGUUCUAACUUGUGAUCAUAAGCUGGUCAGAGGACAUUGUCAGGUGGGUAGUUUGACUGGGGCGGUCACCUCCUAAAGAGUAACGGAGGUGCGCAAAGGUUUCCUCGGCACGGUCAGAAAUCGUGCUAUUGAGUGUAAAGGCAUAAGGAAGCUUAACUGAGAGAGAGACAUCUCGAGCAGAUACGAAAGUAGGUCUUAGUGAUCCGGUGGUAGAAAAUGGAAUUGCCAUCGCUCAACGGAUAAAAGUUACCCUGGGGAUAACAGGCUUAUCUCCCCCAAGAGUUCACAUCGACGGGGAGGUUUGGCACCUCGAUGUCGGCUCAUCGCAUCCUGGGGCUGUAGUCGGUCCCAAGGGUUGGGCUGUUCGCCCAUUAAAGCGGUACGCGAGCUGGGUUCAGAACGUCGUGAGACAGUUCGGUCCCUAUCUGUCGCAGGCGCAGGAUAUUUGAAAGGAGCUGUCCUUAGUACGAGAGGACCAGGAUGGACAUACCAAUGGUGCAACAGUUGUCACACCAGUGGCACAGCUGUGUAGCUAAGUAUGGAAGGGAUAAACGCUGAAAGCAUCUAAGCGUGAAGCCCCCCUUAAGAUAAGAUAUCCCACAACGUCAAGUUGGUAAGAUUCCAGUUAGACUAACUGGUUGAUAGGUUAGAGGUGUAAGUGUGGUGACACAUUUAGCUGACUAAUACUAAUAAUCGAGGGCUUAACCAA
This 1793-nucleotide ribosomal RNA is filed under the name human oral metagenome. RNAcentral describes it as "bacterial LSU rRNA". It matches the Rfam family "Bacterial large subunit ribosomal RNA", at positions 1086 to 2925 of the family's 2925-position model. The record is from RNAcentral.